AUUGAACGCUGGCGGCAGGCCUAACACAUGUAAGUCGAACGAGUGGCGGACGGGUGAGUAAUGUCUGGGAAACUGCCUGAUGGAGGGGGAUAACUACUGGAAACGGUAGCUAAUACCGCAUACCAUCGGAUGUGCCCAGAUGGGAUUAGCUAGUAGGUGGGGUAAAGGCUCACCUAGGCGACGAUCCCUAGCUGGUCUGAGAGGAUGACCAGCCAAAAUGGAACUGAGACACGGUCCAGACUCCUACGUGAGGAAGCAGGGGGGAAUAUGUCACAAUGGGCGAAAGCCUGAUGCAGCCAGGCCGCGUGUAUGAAGAAGGCCUUCGGGUUGUAAAGGACUUUCAGCGGGGAGGCGUUACCCGAAGAAGAAGCACCGGCUAACUCCGUGCCAGCAGCCGCGGUAAUUC
Molecule: ribosomal RNA, 406 nt
Filed under: uncultured bacterium
Lineage: Bacteria
Description: partial 16S ribosomal RNA
Rfam family: Bacterial small subunit ribosomal RNA
Source: RNAcentral